This 301-nucleotide ribosomal RNA is filed under the name uncultured bacterium. RNAcentral describes it as "partial 16S ribosomal RNA". It matches the Rfam family "Bacterial small subunit ribosomal RNA", at positions 509 to 807 of the family's 1533-position model. The record is from RNAcentral.
CAGUCGCCACGGGAAUACGGAGGGGGCUAGCGUUGUUCGGAAUUACUGGGCGUAAAGCGCACGUAGGCGGUGAGUUAAGUCUGCUGUGAAAUCCCCGGGCUCAACCUGGGAAUGGCAGUGGAUACUGGCUCGCUAGAGUGUGUCAGAGGAUGGUGGAAUUCCCGGUGUAGCGGUGAAAUGCGCAGAGAUCGGGAGGAACAUCAGUGGCGAAGGCGGCCAUCUGGGACAACACUGACGCUGAGGCACGAAAGCGUGGGGAGCAAACAGGAUUAGAUACCCCAGUAGUCCCUGUCUCUUAUAC